Molecule: long non-coding RNA, 376 nt
Organism: Neltuma alba
Lineage: Eukaryota; Viridiplantae; Streptophyta; Magnoliopsida; Fabales; Fabaceae
Exons: 5
Source: RefSeq, a predicted model, not a curated record
CAAAUGAAAUGCUUCUGUUGCACACCUUGAGAGACAUAAAGGACCUGUUCGAGGUCUUGAAUUUAAUUCUAUUGCACCAAAUCUUCUUGCAUCUGGGGCUGAUGAUGGUGAAAUUUGCAUAUGGGAUUUGGCCAAUCCUUUGGAGCCCACUCAUUUUCCGCCACUCAAGGGUAGUGGAUCUGCUAGCCAGGGGGAAGUUUCAUUCUUAUCAUGGAAUAGUAAAGUCCAGCACAUUUUAGCAUCAACAUCUUAUAAUGGGACCACUGUGGUCUGGGAUCUAAAGAAGCAAAAGCCAGUGAUAAGCUUUUCAGAUUCAGUUAGAAGACGGUGCUCAGUUUUACAGUGGCAUCCUGAUAUUGCCACACAGCUUGUUGUU